GUCUCACUGAAUGUGUCGUUUGUGUCUCACUGAACGUGUCGUUUGCAUCUGCCUUCUUCCCAUCUUCUUUAUCUUUUACAACCUCCUCAUCUUCCUCUCAGACACUUAAGGACUCAUUCAUUAGGACUCAUGACUAACCGCAUUCCAUAACAUAUGUCUUCACUGACCCUGGAAGCAAUUGUACCUCAACCCACAGAAUUUGUGAAAACGAAACAUUGCAAAUGCACAUCUGAUGAACUAAGCAGUGAUUGUCUAAAGGCCAGCAUGUGCUACACCACCCAGCCCCUGGCUGUCUGACGUCCUUCGUGAACAUCGGACUGACCUCAGGGCAGCUGAGAGGAGAUGGCAGAAAUCUAAAGAUCCAGCAGAUCUAGAACAAGCUGCUGGAUGACAAUCAGUCAGGCUUCAAAAGUGGACACUCCACCAAGACUGCCCUGCUGUCAGAGUCACUGAGACAGGCGAAAGCUGAAUCCAGAUCAUUCGUCCUGAUUCUGCUGGACCUUUCUGCAGCCUUUGACACAGUCAGCCAUCAGAUCUUACUCUCUACCCUCUCCUCGCUGGGCAUCACAGGAACUGUGCUUGACUAGUUUAACUUCUAUCUCUCAGCCCAACGACACCACAGUGACUGCUUGAAUUUCUGCCUGCCUGGCAGACAUCUCGGCCUGGAUGAAGGAACACCACCUGCAACUCAACCCAGCCAAGACUGAACUCCUUGUCUUUCCAGCCAACCCUACUGUUGAACAAAUCAUCACCGUGCAGCUGGGUGCAACUACAGUAACGCCUUCCAAAUUGGUCAGAAAUCUAGGGGCCUCCCUGCAUGUGCAGUUAGACCCCUGCAAAUGAUCCAGAAUGCAGCAGCACGUCUGGUCUUUAAUCAACCAAAGAGAGCACAUGUUACACCACUCCUUGUCUCUCUCCACUGGCUGCUGGUUGAUGCACGUAUCAAAUUCAAGGCUCUGAUGCUGGCAUACAGAACAGUCACUGGGUCUGCUCCAGCAUACCUAAAAUAAUUGAUGCAGAGCUACGCGCCCACUAGAAGCCUGCGGUCGGCUAAGGAACGUCGGCUUGUUGUACCAACACAAAGAGGCACCAAAACACUUUCCCGGACUUUCAGCUUCAUCAUACCACAUUGGUGGAACGACCUUCCCAACUCCAUCCGUGAAGCUGACUCACUCUCUGUCUUCAAAAAACGACUAAAAACACAUCUUUUCCAUGAGCACUUAACCAGUCAUUUAAAAAAAAAUAAAAAAUUCCUGUAGCACUUUAUUCUGUUUUGAAUACUAUUCUGAUGCUAGUGAAACUUUGUAAUAUGGCACUUUUCAUACCGCUGUCUCCUUAAGAUGAUUUGCUUAUGUUUUCCUCUUUUGUAAGUCACUUUGGAUAAAAGCGUCUGCCAAAUGAAUAAAUGUAAAUGUAAAAUGUAAAAUGUAAAUGUUGACUGGCUAGAUCACAGAUCAAACUGCUAAUCAAAACAGGAGGAAGAGGAGAAGGGGAUAGUUUGUUUUCA
Long non-coding RNA from Myxocyprinus asiaticus (Chinese sucker), 1507 nucleotides. RefSeq lists it as uncharacterized. The record is from RefSeq and is a predicted model, not a curated record. The transcript is spliced from 5 exons. Lineage: Eukaryota; Metazoa; Chordata; Actinopteri; Cypriniformes; Catostomidae.